Long non-coding RNA from Cannabis sativa, 1579 nucleotides. RefSeq lists it as uncharacterized. The record is from RefSeq and is a predicted model, not a curated record. The transcript is spliced from 3 exons. Lineage: Eukaryota; Viridiplantae; Streptophyta; Magnoliopsida; Rosales; Cannabaceae.
CUAUAUAUAUAUUUAUAAAGGCUAUAGUAAUAGAUGAAUAGAGAGAGGGUCACGUGAGAGUGAGAGAAGAAUGAGGAAGUUAGUUUAGGAUAUUUGACUUAGUUGAAUUUAAAUUUAAAUUAUGAGGAAUUUUAUAUUAGUAAUUAAUCAAUAUUUUAUUCCUUAAAAAAAUAAAAGGUAUAGCUGAGUUUAAAUUUUAAAUUCCUAGAUUUUCUCUAAUCAGUUGAAUAUAUACGAUAUGGUUUUACCAUUCAAUGAAACGAUGAACACAAACUUCAUUCUCUACUUCUUUCUCUCCACUUAGAUAAUUCCUAAAUCUCUCAUAGCCUCUAUCACACCAAAUUACAGCAUAGCAUAAAUUGAAGCCUCUAUCACAAUAUUCAAUUUCUAAGGGCCUAGAAGGUAUCGUAGGAGUUAAUUACAGCGGAGUUGAGAUAAGUAAGCCUGUAAGUUUUCGGUGACAAGUUGAGUCUGGGCAGCAUGGGGUGUAUCUCGUGUGAUCAUGUAACUGCGUGUGGUCUUGGCCAUCUUCCGCUGAAAGUUUUUUUUUUAAUUUAUUAAACUUAUCGAGGAUGUUGUCGUUUAAAUUUUCUAUUACUUUUCCCUAAGUGGUAAUACUUUAUUUUCAACUGGGUACCCAUGUUUUGAAAAUUGUUAUUUUUUUUAAUAAAGGCAACAUUAGUAUCUUAACGCCAGUUUAUUUAUGGCAUCUUAUUUUACGUAAGUAAGGGCGUUACAAAUGGUAUCAGAGCCACAGUUACAUUGAUCUUGAAUUCACGCGACAUACACACCAUCGCUGCAAAGGAUCAACUUGUCAUCAAGUAUGUAUGCCUUAUAUAUGUUAUGUCUUAUAUAUUAAAUUUGGUUUAGUCUUUAUCUUUUGAUUUUCCUUUAGUUAGCUAGAAGUUUAGGGUAUGGUUAAUCGAAACAAUUAACUGAUUCUUCGGAGUUAGAAUUUUAGUAUAACUCAAACAAUUUUCUUAUUAGUGUAUUUUUUUUUUAUGAGUGAAGAUUAUUUAUUUAUUUAUUUAUUUUACAUGGUGAAUUGUUGCUUGAUGAUUUACGUUUUUUUUAAGUUUAUAUAAUUUAGUGUAUAGAUAUUUCCUUUUUCAACGAGAUACAUCUUUCGUUAUUAUUCUUACCGCUACCAUCUCCUUUCUUUUGAAGAACAAGUUAAGGGAUUUGAUGGAAAACGGUGAACCUAGAAGAUCAACCCGGUUGAAUGAAAGAGCGGCUGUAAGAGACCGAGCUAGAGGUCGGGGGCGAGGAGGUGCUCACGGUCGAGGUCGCGGUCGAGGCAGGGGAAACCAUCAUGUCCCUGCCGAGGCGGUGAUCCAGGAGAAUCAAAAUGCCCCUGUAAAUGGACAACAACCAGGUCAAGGUGGGGGCAACCACGAAGUCCCUGCUGGGGUAGUUGGUCAAGAACACCAAAACGCCCCUGUAGUGGUGCCACCACAACAAGAAGAUUUGGCGCAAGAAGUUGCUCGUCUCAAGGAAGAAAUUAGGAAGCGAGAUGAAGAGGCUCACAACCGUCAGGAACAACCCAAUCAAGGACAACAUCAAUUUUUGCCGGUGCAAU